UACGUAGGGUGCGAGCGUUAAUCGGAAUUACUGGGCGUAAAGCGUGCGCAGGCGGUUCGUUGUGUCGGCGGUGAAAGCCCCGGGCUUAACCUGGGAAUGGCCGUUGAAACUGGCGAACUGGAGUGUGGCAGAGGGGGGUGGAACUCCGCGUGUAGCAGUGAAAUGCGUAGAGAUGCGGAGGAACACCGAUGGCGAAGGCAGCCCCCUGGGCUGACACUGACGCUCAGGCACGAAAGCGUGGGGAGCAAACAGG
RNAcentral lists this ribosomal RNA (253 nucleotides) under uncultured bacterium. RNAcentral describes it as "partial 16S ribosomal RNA". It matches the Rfam family "Bacterial small subunit ribosomal RNA", at positions 524 to 776 of the family's 1533-position model. The record is from RNAcentral.